Molecule: ribosomal RNA, 494 nt
Filed under: uncultured bacterium
Lineage: Bacteria
Description: partial 16S ribosomal RNA
Rfam family: Bacterial small subunit ribosomal RNA
Source: RNAcentral
GAUUAGAGUUUGAUCCUGGCUCAGGAUGAACGCUAGCGGCAGGCCUAACACAUGCAAGUCGCGGGGCAGCGCGGUGCAGCAAUGCACUGGCGGCGACCGGCGCACGGGUGCGUAACGCGUAUGCAACCUGCCCAUUCCCGGGGGAUAGCCCGCCGAAAGGCGGAUUAAUACCCCAUGGACCCUUAGCCCCGCAUGGGGCGGAGGGUAAAGCUCCGGCGGGAAUGGAUGGGCAUGCGUGCCAUUAGCUGGUUGGUGGGGUAACGGCCCACCAAGGCUACGAUGGCUAGGGGGUCUGGGAGGAUGAUCCCCCACACUGGUACUGAGACACGGACCAGACUCCUACGGGAGGCAGCAGUGAGGAAUAUUGGUCAAUGGGCGGAAGCCUGAACCAGCCAUGCCGCGUGCAGGACGACGGCCCUACGGGUUGUAAACUGCUUUUCCGGGGGAGGAAUAACCCCCCUGCGGGGGGGGAUGCCGGUACCCCGGAAUAAGGA